AAUAGUUCAGCACUAAGUCACUUUGUCUUUAUGGCAAAUGUGAGAUGCAGUGUAUGGAAUGUCAAAUUUCUAGUAUGAGAAAUUAACGAUUUAAGUCCUUCUUAAAUGAGGCCAUUUACCCAAAGAGGGUGCCAGGCCCGUAUAACGUUAAUGAUUACUAGAUGGCAUUUCCAAAGAGUCGUGUUGCUUGAUAGUGCAGCACUAAGUGGGUGGUAAACUCCAUCUAAAACUAAAUAUAACCAUGAGACCGAUAGUAAACAAGUACCGUGAGGGAAAGUUGAAAAGAACUCUGAAUAGAGAGUUAAAUAGUACGUGAAACUGCUUAGAGGUUAAGCCCGAUGAACCUGAAUAUCCGUUAUGGAAAAUUCAUCAUUAUGAUUUUAAUAUUAAUAAUAUUAUAAUAAUGGUGUGCAUUUUUUCUAUAAAGGACAUUGUAAUCUAUUAACAUAAAAAAUAUUUAUUAAAAGAUCUUUGGCUUAAGUUUAUUCGAAUUAUUUUGCUUGCAAUUUAAUAUAGAAUAAAUGCCUUUGAUUUGAUAAAGUGUUGAUAGAUUUAUUAUAAUAUAGUGCUUAAAUAUAUUUAUAUUUUAUAAUAGCAUAUUAAUCAUUGAUUUUUAUGUUUAUUAUAUGCACUUAUAUGAUUAACAAUGCGAAAGAUUCAGGAUACCUUCGGGACCCGUCUUGAAACACGGACCAAGGAGUCUAACAUAUAUGCAAGUUAUUGGGAAUAAAAACCUAAUAGCGAAAUUAACAUAACUUUAAUAUAUGGGAUUAGUUUUUAGUCUAUUUUUAUAGUCUAUUAAUUCAAUCCCGGGGCGUUCUAUACAGUUAUGUAUAAUAAUAUUUAUAUUAUUUAUACCUCUAACUAGAGCGUACCUUGAGCAUAUAUGCUGUGACCCGAAAGAUGGUGAACUAUAC
RNAcentral lists this ribosomal RNA (917 nucleotides) under Cordylobia anthropophaga (tumbu fly). RNAcentral describes it as "eukaryotic LSU rRNA". It matches the Rfam family "Eukaryotic large subunit ribosomal RNA", at positions 103 to 836 of the family's 3401-position model. The record is from RNAcentral. Lineage: Eukaryota; Metazoa; Arthropoda; Insecta; Diptera; Calliphoridae.